AAAGUUUUUUCGGCCAGGGAUGUGCUCGCGGCCUAUCAGCUUGUUGGUGGGGUAAUGGCCUACCAAGGCUUCGACGGGUAGCCGGCCUGAGAGGGUGACCGGCCACACUGGGACUGAGACACGGCCCAGACUCCUACGGGAGGCAGCAGUGGGGAAUAUUGGACAAUGGGCGAAAGCCUGAUCCAGCAACGCCGCGUGAGGGAUGACGGCCUUCGGGUUGUAAACCUCUUUCAGUACCGACGAAGCGCCGAUGAUGGUGGUGACGGUAGGUACAGAAGAAGCACCGGCCAACUACGUG
Molecule: ribosomal RNA, 298 nt
Filed under: uncultured bacterium
Lineage: Bacteria
Description: partial 16S ribosomal RNA
Rfam family: Bacterial small subunit ribosomal RNA
Source: RNAcentral